GACGAACGCUGGCGGCGUGCUUAACACAUGCAAGUCGAGCGGUAAGGCCCUUUCGGGGGUACACGAGCGGCGAACGGGUGAGUAACACGUGGGUGACCUGCCCUCAGCUCUGGGAUAAGCCUGGGAAACUGGGUCUAAUACUGGAUAUGACUCCACGGUGCAUGUCGUGGGGUGGAAAGCCUUGUGCGGCUGAGGAUGGGCCCGCGGCCUAUCAGCUUGUUGGUGGGGUGANGGCCUACCAAGGCGACGACGGGUAGCCGGCCUGAGGA
Molecule: ribosomal RNA, 269 nt
Filed under: uncultured bacterium
Lineage: Bacteria
Description: partial 16S ribosomal RNA
Rfam family: Bacterial small subunit ribosomal RNA
Source: RNAcentral